GGAGAUUGCCUUAGUGGUUCCCAGCAGACUGAAGGCUUCUGUAUGGGAUAUGUGCAACUGAGGCUAAGGCAGUUCCUGUAGUAAACUUCUCCAGUACAGACGAUUGGAUGUUGUCUUACAGAAUAACUGCGAUGUUGUAAAGGCAUGUGCUGUGUAGGAGCCAGUGACUGCCUAGUUCAUGCAGUACUUGAGCAGGACAUGCUUUAGAGGAAGAAAAUAAAGUGAAGGAAACAGAAAAGCCAGUGAUGGAGAGAGAAACAACUAUCAAGCCAGAACUGGUUGUCACUUACUCUGGCCAGUUCUUUUUCCAAGGAUUAAAUAUAUUGUCUAAACUAGCUGUUAAUUGAUGACUAUUUUUAUUGCAAUUCUUUUCUUGUCAGCAAUAAUAAUGCUUCCAGACAAGCUCUUGCUCAAAGCUUUAUAUUUCUUUCCAUUCUUUCCCAUGUUUGCUCAUUAAAUAGUAUCCUUAUUAAUCCUCAUGCUUUCUCUUUAUUCUUCUUUUGCUGUUACAGUCAGUCUUUCCUGUUUGGGUUUCUAUUUUAAUGCUCCUCUUGCUCAUUAAGCACCUCGCCUACCUGAACCUGUUUCACACCAGUGAACUUGGAAGUCCUGUCUGCCUCAUUCUCUGUGUUGUACCCGCUCUUUCCAUCCACCCACAUGCUCCAUUGCUUGUACACUUCUACUCAGCCUCCUUUUUCUCCUGCAGUACACCCACAUGCUGGCA
This is a non-coding RNA of Coturnix japonica (Japanese quail), 724 nucleotides long. NCBI's taxonomy places the organism in Eukaryota, Metazoa, Chordata, Aves, Galliformes, Phasianidae. The record is from RefSeq and is a predicted model, not a curated record.